Molecule: long non-coding RNA, 1385 nt
Organism: Brassica napus (rape)
Lineage: Eukaryota; Viridiplantae; Streptophyta; Magnoliopsida; Brassicales; Brassicaceae
Exons: 6
Source: RefSeq, a predicted model, not a curated record
GCUUUACUAUUGUUUUGGGCCUCAUGCCGAACAAACCAGUCGACUCAAAUCUUAGCUUCACGGCGUCACAGAAGUUUAGGGUUCGUCUUUGUUCUUCGUUCGAUCGCGACGUCUGACCGUUGUCCAUCACCGAAACAGUCCCCUUUACAGAUUCUUCAUGUUAAAUCCCUUAUUAAUUCAAUCUAACCACAACCUCCACUAAAACGCUGCUACCCAGCGAUGGAAACCUCCGCCGUUUUGACAUGCUCCUCUUCGAUGGCAACCUCAGCCAAAACAGCCUGUAAUGUGAAGAAAGGCGGCGAGCUCAUGGACGGUGUCAUGCUUCUCCUCGACUCCAAGGCGACACUCUUGGCAGCAAGUUCACCGUCUCACCACCUACAGACGUCACUUGAUGGUUCACUGGGUGUAAUCAGAAUUCUAGACUGUCAAUCUCUCCUCUAGUGAUUCAACCACUUUUGAUUAGUUAACCGAACCGUUUUCCCCAAUUCCAGAAGAACACUUCAGAUUCCGAAAUCACAGUCAGCUGCUUGGCCUAGCCAACACAAAUGCCCAGCUUCCAGACAUUAUCGCUGAGACUGUGACCAUAGCUGAACUAAACGAGUUUAUCCUCAUUGCCCAGCGUCAGGGUGUGGUUGAAUUUGUCUGCACCGGGCACUGGAUUUAACAUGGACAAAGGCUGGUGCUAUGUCUCUAACUCCAGAUGUACAAAGAAGUUUCAGCGGAUGGUCUCAUCCUUUACUUGCGCAACCUUCAAUAACACCACUCCAUUGGUGUCUUUCGGUAUGUUGGACCCUGCAACUACUUGAUCUUCUUAUUACAUUAGAAUGAGGUCCCAUAAACAUUAUAUCUUAUGUAUCGUGUGGAGAAGACUAUUGUUGGUGAGACUGCUGAAAGUCUAUUUGUUGGUUUUGAUGGAGAAAUGCACAAGUUACAUAACAUCCGAGCUUAUGAAGCUGUGCAUCUUUUGACUGGAGAGGGAGAGAAUCCAGAGCACACACAGCUACCCCUUUUAUUGCACAGAUGACUGGCAAGACUUACACCUUCCAGGCCAGAGAUGGUAACGAUGAUCAUGGCGAUGAUAUGCCUGGGAAUAUCUCAGGGCCUACUAAGGUGGACACUGAUGGUGACGACUGUGAGGAAGCACCGACUAUAGGAACUACUUCAACUGGUGUCGACACCAAUAAGCCUCCCGCAACAGCAACUUCCAAGGUUGCCAAAGACGGCACGCAUCGCAUACGCCAAGAUCAUUAAGUUUUUCUACGCACUAUUUUUUGUUUGAAUAAUGCUUUUGGCACCAAUUUUAUAGUAGUAAUAUUAUACACCACACAAAUAUUAUUAUAAAAUAGAUAAUAUAUAACAACAAAUUAUAUUCAUGUAUUGAUAAA